Lutra lutra (Eurasian river otter) is the source of this 1438-nucleotide non-coding RNA. The record is from the annotation of a RefSeq genome assembly. Lineage: Eukaryota; Metazoa; Chordata; Mammalia; Carnivora; Mustelidae.
AGAAAUGAGGAACGAAAGGCCCAGAUGAGCAUGGGGCAGAUAUAGGAAGAGAGGCAACAUGAGGCAGCACCACCUCUGCUCCACACGUGAUCUGGCCAAGCCCGGGUUCUGCUGCCAAGCCAGAAGCUGUAUGUAAGAUCACAACAAGGAGUGACCCUUGCCUUGGUGAAGCCAACAGCAGUCAUCGCAGGCAGAUCCACCUGUCAGGGACCGGAGACUCUGCACCCCCAUCUCUCCACCCAGAGAUCAGAGUCUGGAGCAGACAGAAGCUCCAUUCCUGUGGUCCUGCCAUGGCUCCCGGGCUGCUCUACUGUGUGACCUUUUGUCUCCUUGGAGCAGGUCCCAUGGGUGCCAUGGUCAUCCAGAGCUCAAGAUACCAGGUUACGAGGGUGGGGAAACCAGUGAAUCUGAGCUGUUCUCAGAAUAUGAAUCAUGACAGCAUGUAUUGGUACCAACAGAAGCUGAACCAAGGCCCAAAGCUGCUCCUCUACUUCUAUAAUACAGACCUUAACAAAGAAGCAGACACCUCUGAUAACUUCCAGGCCAGACGGGCCAACACUUCUUUCUGUUCUCUCAACAUCCUCUCGCCAGGCUUGGGGGACUCAGCAUUGUAUCUCUGUGCCAGCAGUAAAGACCCACAGGGGUACAGCGAGCAGCACUUUGGGCCAGGGACCCGGCUCACGGUACUAGAGAAUCUGGAAAAGGUCAAACCUCCCACGGUCACAGUGUUUGAACCAUCGGAAGCAGAGACCUCCCGAACCCAGAAGGCCACACUCGUGUGCCUGGCCACCGGCUUCUACCCCGACCACGUGGAGCUGAGCUGGUGGGUGAAUGGGAAGGAGGUCCAGAAUGGGGUCAGCACGGACCCUCAGCCCUACAAGGAGCGGCUGGAUGGGAAUGACUCCAGCUACUGUCUGAGCAGCCGGCUGAGGGUGUCCUCUGCCUUCUGGCACAACCCUCGUAACCACUUUCGCUGCCAAGUCCAAUUCCACGGGCUCGGGGACAAUGACGAGUGGCCCAGCGACAAAGGGACCAAACCCGUCACCCAGAUCGUCAGUGCCGAGGCCUGGGGCAGAGCAGACUGUGGCUUCACUUCGGUGUCCUAUCAGCAGGGCAUCCUGUCUGCCACCAUCCUCUAUGAGAUCCUGCUGGGGAAGGCCACUCUGUAUGCUGUGCUGGUCAGUGCCCUGGUGCUGAUGGCCAAGGUCAAGAGAAAGGGUUCCUGAGACCAGCUCAGAAAAUGCACCCUGAAUUGCUCAUCAUCGUCCCUGAGAUUCUCCCUAACGUGCUCCAGUCUGCGUUUCUAGAAGUUAAUCUCUCUCUACCUCUUAUCUCCUUUCUGCUGGGAUAUCUGUCCCUUCUCUCUGCUUUCCUGCAGACUGAGCUCCUCAACCCUGAAACGGAAAUAGACUAAAACAAUAAAAGUGUCCUGCCAGGC